UACGUAUGGUGCAAGCGUUAUCCGGAAUGACUGGGUGUAAAGGGAGCGUAGACGGUUGUUCAAGUCUGAUGUGAAAGCCCUCGGCUUAACUGGGGGAGUGCAUUGGAAACUGAAGGACUAGAGUAUCGGAGAGGCAAGUGGAAUUCCUAGUGUAGCGGUGAAAUGCGUAGAUAUUAGGAGGAACACCAGUGGCGAAGGCGGCUUGCUGGACGAAAACUGUCGUUGAGGCUCGAAAGCGUGGGGAGCAAACAGG
Molecule: ribosomal RNA, 253 nt
Filed under: uncultured bacterium
Lineage: Bacteria
Description: partial 16S ribosomal RNA
Rfam family: Bacterial small subunit ribosomal RNA
Source: RNAcentral